Molecule: long non-coding RNA, 374 nt
Organism: Mus musculus (house mouse)
Lineage: Eukaryota; Metazoa; Chordata; Mammalia; Rodentia; Muridae
Product: predicted gene, 51421
Exons: 3
Source: RefSeq, a predicted model, not a curated record
AGAGUGAAUCGGAGCAUGAGGGGCCCCAGAAGCUGAUCCGUAAAGUGUCCACCUCUGGACAGAUGGGGACCAAGGAAUCAGAGAGGAUGCCUGGGCCUGCAGCCAGCACCACCCUCAAGGCCUUGCAGGAGGAGCUGUCCCUGGGGCCAGAGAGUUUUCCACUGCUGCAGGACCUGGAGAGGAUUCGUUCGAGAGUGAAUCGGAGCAUGAGGGGCCCCAGAAGCUGAUCCGUAAAGUGUCCACCUCUGGACAGAUGGGGACCAAGAAGCAUAAGAGGUCAUCCUGGUGUGGAGGCAUGGCUGCAUGAGGCAGGCAUAGCAGUAGAAGCAGGAAGCUGCAGCAUGAUGCACUGAAGGCCUGGAACAGAGAGAGCC